This 1380-nucleotide ribosomal RNA is filed under the name uncultured eukaryote. RNAcentral describes it as "SSU rRNA". It matches the Rfam family "Eukaryotic small subunit ribosomal RNA", at positions 384 to 1804 of the family's 1831-position model. The record is from RNAcentral.
CGGAGAGGUAGCAUGAGAAACGGCUACCACAUCUAAGGAAGGCAGCAGGCGCGCAAAUUACCCAAUCCUUACACAGGGAGGUAGUGACAAGAAAUAACAAUGCGUUACAAUGUUCUUACGUAAUUGGAAUGAUUUGACUGUAAACUUGUUUGAGAGUACCAAUUGGAGGGCAAGUCUGGUGCCAGCAGCCGCGGUAAUUCCAGCUCCAAUAGCGUAUGUCUAAAAUUGUUGCGGUUAAAACGCUCGUAGUUGUACGUUCGUCCAGGGCAAUCGGAUUUUUCGCACAGAAGGUUCCGAGUGGUCUUUGAAAUUAUCUUACAAACCGGUCUCUUGCUGAUCCCGCGGACAGGGAUACUUGUACCUUGAAGAAAUUAGAGUGCUUCCAGCCGAUUAUUGUGUGAAUAUUAUCGCAUGGAAUAGUUGGAGAAGCCUCUGUUUCUAUUAGAGAUUUGUAGAGCAGGUGUAAUAGUUGAGAGGAACAGAAGGGGGCAUUCAUAUUUGCAUGUGAGAGGUGGAAUUCUUGGAUCUUGUGAAGGUGGACUACUGCGAAAGCAUUUGUCAAGAAUGUUUUCAUUAAUCAAGAACGAAAGUUAGGGGAUCGAAGACGAUUAGAUACCGUCCUAGUCUUAACCAUAAACCAUGCCUUUUGGAGAUCAGGUGAACCUCGAACUCAGAGGAUUUUGGCAUCCUAGGGGAAAUUAAAAUUUUUGGGUUCCGGGGGGAGUAUGGUCGCAAGGCUGAAACUUAAAGGAAUUGACGGAAGGGCACCACCAGGAGUGGAGCUUGCGGCUUAAUUUGACUCAACGCGAGAAAUCUCACCAGGUCCAGACAUGGGAAGGAAUGGCAGAGAAGCAGCUUUUUCUCGAUUACAUGGGUGGCGGUGCAUGGCCGUUGUCAGUUGGUGGGGUGUAUCUGUCUGAUUGAUUCGGAUACCGAACGAGACCUCGAGCCUACUAAAUAAUUAGCACUGUGCGCUAAGUGAUGAUAUGUUAGAGGGACUUUUCCUCCCAAAGAAAGGAAGUAUGAGCACUAUAACAAGUCUGUGAUACCCUUAGAUGUUCUGGCCUGCACCCGCGCUACACUCACAUAGACAGAGAGAUGUUCCUAUGGCGAGGGGAAUGGAGAAACUUGAGAGGAUAAGUCGUGAUGGGUAUAGCUUAUAUCAAUUAUCGACCAUAAACGAGGAAUUAGUAGUAAUCGUAAGGAAUGUAACUUAUCGCUGAUUAUCGUCCUCUGACACUUUGUCCACACCGACUCGUCGCUGCUAGCGUUCGAGUUGUCCGGUAAAUUAUGCAGACUGCAUGCGGGUGAGAGACGUGCCAUCGAAAAGCAUUGUGAACCUUAUCACUUAGAGGAAGGAGAAGUCGUAACAAGGUAACC